RNAcentral lists this ribosomal RNA (429 nucleotides) under Acidobacteriota bacterium. RNAcentral describes it as "Acidobacteria bacterium partial 16S ribosomal RNA". It matches the Rfam family "Bacterial small subunit ribosomal RNA", at positions 355 to 776 of the family's 1533-position model. The record is from RNAcentral. Lineage: Bacteria; Pseudomonadati; Acidobacteriota.
UGGGGAAUUUUGGACAAUGGGGGAAACCCUGAUCCAGCCAUCCCGCGUGUGCGAUGAAGGCCUUCGGGUUGGAAAGCACUUUUGGCAGGAAAGAAACGUCAUGGGUUAAUACCCCGUGAAACUGACGGUACCUGCAGAAUAAGCACCGGCUAACUACGUGCCAGCAGCCGCGGUAAUACGUAGGGUGCAAGCGUUAAUCGGAAUUACUGGGCGUAAAGCGUGCGCAGGCGGUUCGGAAAGAAAGAUGUGAAAUCCCAGAGCUCAACUUUGGAACUGCAUUUUUAACUACCGGGCUAGAGUGUGUCAGAGGGUGGUGGAAUUCCGCGUGUAGCAGUGAAAUGCGUAGAUAUGCGGAGGAACACCGAUGGCGAAGGCAGCCUCCUGGGAUAACACUGACGCUCAUGCACGAAAGCGUGGGGAGCAAACAGG